AGAGUUUGAUCCUGGCUCAGAUUGAACGCUGGCGGCAGGCCUAACACAUGCAAGUCGAGCGGUAACAGGACUAGCUUGCUAGUUGCUGACGAGCGGCGGACGGGUGCGUAACACGUAGGAAUCUGCCCGGUAGUGGGGGAUAGCCCGGAGAAAUCCGGAUUAAUACCACAUACGCCCUAAGGGGGAAAGAUGGCCUCUUCUCGAAAGCUAUCACUAUCGGAUGAGCCUGCGUCGGAUUAGCUAGUUGGUGAGGUAAAGGCUCACCAAGGCGACGAUCCGUAGCUGGUCUGAGAGGAUGAUCAGCCACACUGGGACUGAGACACGGCUCAGCCUCCUACGGGGGGCAGCAGUGGGGAAUAUUGCACAAUGGGCGCAAGCCUGAUGCAGCCAUGCCGCGUGUGUGAAGAAGGCUCUAGGGUCGUAAAGCACUUUCAGCGAGGAGGAAAGGUUAAAGAUUAAUACUCUUUAGCUGUGACGUUACUCGCAGAAGAAGCACCGGCUAACUCCGUGCCAGCAGCCGCGGUAAU
Molecule: ribosomal RNA, 527 nt
Filed under: uncultured Endozoicomonas sp.
Lineage: Bacteria; Pseudomonadati; Pseudomonadota; Gammaproteobacteria; Oceanospirillales; Endozoicomonadaceae
Description: bacterial SSU rRNA
Rfam family: Bacterial small subunit ribosomal RNA
Source: RNAcentral